UAAUUAUGUAUUAUAAACUCAAGAGGGCCUUGAACUGUUGAAGGCAGCUAUAGAAAAGGCUGGAUACACUGGAAAGGUGGUUAUUGGAAUGGAUGUUGCUGCUUCUGAAUUCUUCAGUGAGAAGGAUAAGAUUUAUGAUCUUAAUUUCAAGGAGGAAAACAACGAUGGUUCAAACAAAAUCUCAGGUGACAGCCUGAAAGAUCUGUACAAGUCCUUUGUUUCUGAAUAUCCUAUUGUGUCCAUCGAAGACCCAUUUGAUCAGGAUGACUGGGCCACCUAUGCCAAACUCACUGCUGAGAUUGGAGAGCAAGUGCAGAUUGUAGGAGAUGAUCUUCUUGUUACUAAUCCAACCGUAAGUAACAUUUUAGUGAGUUGUUUUUUCUUACUAUAAUCCUGCAACAUACAAGUUUGAACAUUACCUGCCUGACCUGUACCGCGGACAAUACUAAAUGUGACUUUGAUGGGGGCCUUCAGAAGCGAUGCUCAUAUUGGCCUUUGGAGUCAUCCUAAUACCAUAUUUGAUUGCAGCCACUGGUGCCUUCCUGGAGUUCCAUAUGCUUGGAAUGAACUUGUAUUUCCCAUCUGUUGACAAAUGAUUCUAUAUAAAGGCCUCGGUUCAGAUCAUUAUCAAGCUUGUCUCUUCUUUUAUGUUGAGACUUGAGAGGGCUUAGUGAUUCAGUUGCUCUACAAUCUAUUUUGUUCAGCAGGCG
Long non-coding RNA from Panicum virgatum (switchgrass), 710 nucleotides. RefSeq lists it as uncharacterized. The transcript has 4 exons. Lineage: Eukaryota; Viridiplantae; Streptophyta; Magnoliopsida; Poales; Poaceae. The record is from RefSeq and is a predicted model, not a curated record.